Molecule: ribosomal RNA, 516 nt
Filed under: uncultured bacterium
Lineage: Bacteria
Description: bacterial SSU rRNA
Rfam family: Bacterial small subunit ribosomal RNA
Source: RNAcentral
UACGGGAGGCAGCAGUGGGGAAUAUUGCACAAUGGGCGCAAGCCUGAUGCAGCGACGCCGCGUGAGGAUGAAGGCCUUCGGGUCGUAAACUCCUGUCGACCGGGACGAAAGUAGUCCGACCCAAUACGUCGGGCUAUCGACUGUACCGGUGGAGGAAGCCACGGCUAACUCUGUGCCAGCAGCCGCGGUAAUACAGAGGUGGCAAGCGUUGUUCGGAAUUACUGGGCGUAAAGGGCGCGUAGGCGGUCGGGCAAGUCCUGUGUGAAAUCCCUCGGCUCAACUGAGGAACUGCACGGGAAACUGCCUGACUUGAGUUCGGGAGAGGGAAGCGGAAUUCCGGGUGUAGCGGUGAAAUGCGUAGAUAUCCGGAGGAACACCGGUGGCGAAGGCGGCUUCCUGGACCGACACUGACGCUGAGGCGCGAAAGCUAGGGGAGCAAACGGGAUUAGAUACCCCGGUAGUCCUAGCUGUAAACGAUGAGUGCUGGGUGUAGGGGGUCUUAACCCCCCCUGUGCC